UGGAUGUGGCUGUUGAUGUUAUGUUAGAGAUAAAUGGUUUUACUAAUGGUAGUGAUGUGCGAGGAGGAAAAAUGAGUGGAACAUUUUGUUGGCACUUGGUAUGCUAUUUCCUAUUACAAUCUUGAUCAUAAAAUUCAUUGUUAGCCAGAACAUCUACUUGGUGGAUCAAGUGGACAUUUCCAUCAUCUUUGACUAUUGGAGUAGUUGAAAGAAGAUUUAUGGUCUCUUGGACUGCACCGCUGCAAAUUGUUUUAGUCCCAGGC
Molecule: long non-coding RNA, 263 nt
Filed under: Elaeis guineensis (African oil palm)
Lineage: Eukaryota; Viridiplantae; Streptophyta; Magnoliopsida; Arecales; Arecaceae
Description: long non-coding RNA (EGUI_LNC079472)
Source: RNAcentral